GACGGAGGAUGCAAGCGUAAUCCGGAAUGAUUGGGCGUAAAGCGUUCGCAGGUGGCUGUUCAAGUCUGCUGUCAAAGACCGGGGCUUAACCCUAGAAAGGCAGUGGAAACUGGACGGCUGGAGUGCAGUAUGGGUAGAGGGAAUUCCGAGUGUAGCGGUGAAAUGCGUAGAGUUUGGGAAGAACACCGGUGGCGAAAGCGCUCUGCUGGACUGCAACUGACACUGAGGGACGAAAGCUAGGGGAGCGAAAGGG
This 253-nucleotide ribosomal RNA is filed under the name uncultured bacterium. RNAcentral's name for it is "partial 16S ribosomal RNA". It matches the Rfam family "Bacterial small subunit ribosomal RNA", at positions 524 to 776 of the family's 1533-position model. The record is from RNAcentral.